UGCCAGCAGCCGCGGUAAUACGAAGGGUGCUAGCGUUGUUCGGAAUUACUGGGCGUAAAGAGCAUGUAGGCGGAUUAAUAAGUCAGAGGUGAAAUCCUGCAGCUCAACUGUAGAACUGCCUUUGAUACUGUUAAUCUUGAGUUAUUAUGAAGUAGUUAGAAUAUGUAGUGUAGCGGUGAAAUGCAUAGAUAUUACAUAGAAUACCAAUUGCGAAGGCAGAUUACUAAUAAUAUACUGACACUGAGGGACGAAAGCGUGGGGAGCGAACAGGAUUAGAUA
Molecule: ribosomal RNA, 279 nt
Filed under: uncultured bacterium
Lineage: Bacteria
Description: partial 16S ribosomal RNA
Rfam family: Bacterial small subunit ribosomal RNA
Source: RNAcentral